UGUCGUGCUUGAGGGAGGAACCGAGACAGGAGACUGACCCGCAGGGGGCAGGAGGGCAGCGCAGGGCAGCACUCGUGUGCAGGCCAGUUCUUGAGCGCCGCGAGCGAGGGAAGUGCGGAGCCAUGGCGCUGAAGAGGAUCCAGAAGGAGUUGACUGAUUUGCAGCGAGACCCUCCGGCACAGUGUUCAGCUGGCCCAGUUGGGGAGGACCUGUUCCAUUGGCAGGCCACCAUCAUGGGGCCGAACGACAGUCCCUUCCAGGGUGGAGUCUUCUUCCUGACCAUCCACUUCCCUACAGAUUACCCCUUUAAACCACCGAAGGUAGCAUUUACCACUAAGAUCUUCCACCCCAACAUCAACAGCAAUGGCAGUAUUUGCCUGGACAUCCUGCGGUCGCAGUGGUCACCUGCACUCACCGUUUCCAAAGUCCUCCUAUCCAUCUGCUCAUUGCUGUGUGACCCAAACCCGGAUGACCCGCUAGUACCAGAGAUCGCACACACCUACAAAGCUGACAGAGAAAAUUUUCCUGCCGGCGCGACGCUGUGACGUGGUUUGAACGUGAUGACAUGUAGCGCAACGUGCGGCAACUCUAUAACGAGCCAAAUGAGGGACAUUUUCGCAACGAUGCCAGCUCGCUCAAGCUGAACCAGCAGCGCCCAUUCAUAUCUCGUUUGAUGCGGUGUUCCUUCCUCUGUCUAACGGUACAACCGACUUGCAAUGGAAUGGACGCAGAAGUAUGCAAUGUGAAGGGGAAACACGGAGGACAUGACGCUGAAAUAGUGAAUGAGGACUUGGAAUACAGAACAUUUUUUUAGUGUGAACAGUGCCAAGGAGAAUGUCAGUGAGGGCCAGAGAUGAAGGAGGAACAACAAACCAGCUGCUCUCUUUGACUACCCUGUUCAGUUGGCUGAGACACACAAGUCCACAAUGGACAGACAGCUGGACAAAUCACCAAUAUGCAGCAUGACCUUUAUCCUCCUCUCAAUACCAAAGGACACCCAUCCUUGUGACAGACAUGGCUCUUUUUACAACUCUCAUUGUUAAUAUUUAUUGAAAUAGAAAUGUUGCUGUGAUUAUGAUGAAAUUUUACUAUUUAUCUUCUGAAGGGCUUGUAAUCAUGUCAGGAGAUGAGGCUUCUCUGAUAACAGCCUGACUUUUCUUGUGUCCAUGCAGGCCCUGUGGAGUAUGUUUGCCGUGCGUGAUGCACGGUUGACCCCGACAAUAUGUCAGUCAGAAAGUCAGCCCAAAGUUCUGGUAGAAUCAUAAACCUCUGCAUCUUCCCUUCUGUUGAGACAUUAUAGGAAAGUUUUGCAUAGUAGUAAGAGAUUUUCAUCCAUACAGGCUGUUUUACAAGUGUUCACAUACACAUGCAUAUGUUGAUAUAAUGAGAAAACUGAACUUUAUUUCUGCUGUCAAAUUAUUUCCCUUUAUGUAAACACACUUGUGGCCUUGGAGACAAGAAAUAUUGAAGAAACAUUGUUUUUGCUGAGUCAUCCUGUUUCUGAUGUGCCACAUAGGCCAAACACAUCUAAACUGAAUCUAGUGGGGCAUGGAUGCCUGCCAGAGCAACUCACUUGAGAUUCAUCGUUCUGUCUUUUUGCUUUCAUUUUGCUUCAGAGACACCCAGAAAUGUGCGUAUUAGUGAAAACAAUACUCUGGUAAUAUUUACUUUAAAAGUAGAACACUCAAGAAAUCUGAGUAUGUGUAAAGUCAAAGAAUCUACUCAAGGGUAAAGUUACUUUGAUUCAAAUUAUGCUUUUUAUUGUUCUGAACCACCUGCAACGUUAACAGCUUUAGUGUGUGGUUUGAAUUUUUUAAGGAGAAAAUAUAUAUUUUCAACAAACCAAACCAUUGCUGUUCCAAUAAAGUUGUUGGGAAUAAUGGUAACAAAAUACAAACAAAAUAAAAGAACAGUCUGCUAGCUUACAAACUUGUUAUAAAACAAGCUAUGGUAGCACAGUUGUUAGUUGCUUCUUUUGGAUCUGAAGGGUGUUGGUUUAAAGCCUGCCUACAAAAUGAGCAAGGUACUUAGCCUAAACUGCUCCACCUAGCUGUAUAAAUGGGUAAAUAGUUGCGGGUAUCUUAAGAUUGGCUUAGGAAAAAAAGUGUCAGCUAAGUGAAUAACGCACGUGUCAAGCUAGGUUUGGGUGUUGUGGAAUUUAGUUUGAAUAGAUAAGUCUGAAACGUCAAGGCUUUUAUUCCUUCCAACUAUCUGUACAAGCAGCAUGCUGGGAGCAACUCCAAAGAAAAGGUCCCCAAACAACGCUCGAUCAAAGUUAUCGAUAUUAACCUUCUGUUGCAUUAACACUUCUCAUAUGCUAUGAGAUACAAAUAAUGAAUGAUAAUAAAUAUCCAUCCAUACAAUUUCAAUAAACUGCUUGUUCUGGGCAAGGUCACGUUGAACCAGAGCCUAUCCUGGAGAUACUGGCUGCAAGGUGAGGGGUGGUACACCCUGGACAGGACACCAGUCCGCUGAAGGGUAGCCACAUGUGCACAAACUUACUCACUUACUCACACACUAUGGGCAAUUUAGUGUCACCAAUUCACCUUAACUUAGACUACGGAAAGAAACCCUCAGAAACAUGGAGAUAA
This is an RNA transcript of Scleropages formosus (Asian bonytongue), 2591 nucleotides long. It is a transcript of the gene named ubiquitin-conjugating enzyme E2 D4-like, with no coding region annotated. NCBI's taxonomy places the organism in Eukaryota, Metazoa, Chordata, Actinopteri, Osteoglossiformes, Osteoglossidae. The transcript is spliced from 8 exons. The record is from RefSeq and is a predicted model, not a curated record.